GAAAUGCGAUAAGUAAUGUGAAUUGCAGAAUUCAGUGAAUCAUCGAAUCUUUGAACGCACAUUGCGCCCCCUGGUAUUCCGGGGGGCAUGCCUGUUCGAGCGUCAUUUCACCACUCAAGCCUCGCUUGGUAUUGGGCAACGCGGUCCGCCGCGUGCCUCAAAUCGACCGGCUGGGUCUUCUGUCCCCUAAGCGUUGUGGAAACUAUUCGCUAAAGGGUGCUCGGGAGGCUACGCCGUAAAACAAACCCAUUUCUAAGGUUGACCUCGGAUCAGGUAGGGAUACGCGCUGAACUUAAGC
RNAcentral lists this unclassified non-coding RNA (298 nucleotides) under plant metagenome. RNAcentral describes it as "partial contains 5.8S ribosomal RNA, internal transcribed spacer 2, and large subunit ribosomal RNA". The stretch from base 1 to 105 matches the Rfam family "5.8S ribosomal RNA", at positions 50 to 154 of the family's 154-position model. The record is from RNAcentral.